CCAGACGGCCGGGCGACCGCUGCCAGCUUCGCGAGAGGCGGUGGAGGAAAGUCCGGGCUCCACGGAAGAACGGUGCCGGCUAACGGCCGGCGGGGGCGACCCCAGGGACAGUGCCACAGAGAAGAGACCGCCCCGCCGCCGAAAGGCGCAAGGGGCAAGGGUGAAACGGUGGGGUAAGAGCCCACCGCGCCCCUGGCGACAGGGGCGGCACGGCAAACCCCACCGGGAGCAAGGCCGAAUAGGGAUGGCCGGAGAGGGUCCGCAAGGGCUCGUCGCCAGGGGUUUUUCCGCCCCGCCAUCCGGGUUGGCCGCGAGAAGUCGCCGGUGACGGCGACUCCAGAGGAAUGGUCGCCCGGUCCGCAAGGGCCGACAGAACCCGGCUUACAGGCCGUCUGGCAUU
This 400-nucleotide RNase P RNA is filed under the name Muricoccus roseus. Its description in RNAcentral is "Roseomonas rosea Bacterial RNase P class A". It matches the Rfam family "Bacterial RNase P class A". From Rfam's summary of the family: Ribonuclease P (RNase P) is a ubiquitous endoribonuclease, found in archaea, bacteria and eukarya as well as chloroplasts and mitochondria. The record is from Rfam by way of RNAcentral. Lineage: Bacteria; Pseudomonadati; Pseudomonadota; Alphaproteobacteria; Acetobacterales; Roseomonadaceae.